UCAGAUGGGUGUGCAGGUCAAUAUAAGAAUUACAAAAAUAUGUUAAAUCUUUGUUUCCAUUGUAAAGAUUUUGGUUUUACUGCUAAAUGGAACUUUUUUGCAACUAGUCACGGUAAGCAACCUUGUGAUGGGAUAGGUGGUACAGUCAAACGUCUGGCAACACUAGCAAGUUUGCAAAGAGAUAUAGAAGAUUUAACUUUGGUGAGAACCGCUCUUAAAGAACGAUUGGAUACUGCUAAUACGAUACCUGGAACACGUAGUUAAUAUCAUAUUGUACCACUUGGCCAUCAAAUGAAGAAAAAGAUGUGCUUGUAAAAUUUAUGUGUCCUAAUGGUCCUUGACGGUCGUUUAAAUGGCCAUCAAAGGAAAGCCAAUGCUGGAUUCCUGAUGUCCACAUUAUUUGCAAAGUUGAGAAAAGUUAUUGUUCCAGAGAAACAGAAAUCGGGCACCUUGGUCACGUAAGCCUGGAUACAAAAUACCAUAAACAUUUACCAUCUCUACUCUAAAUGUAGUGGAAGUUGGGUUACAGUAGAUCGAGGGGCACAGUGAAUAAUAGUCAUUUUCUCAAAGAUAUGGCUGGAAAAAGAGAUAAAGACAGAAGAUUAUCUAAAAGAUCUUUAUUUGGAACGCAAGCGUUUAUCAACAUACAUCGUCAAAAACGUUUUUCUUUAUCUCAAAGAAACAUAGAAACUGUAGAAUCUAGAGGUCAAUCUGGCGGCAGUAAUACAUAUUCAGUUUCGAACUCUGAUACUGACGAUGAUAAAAUUAUAAAAUCAGUUUGUAAAAUGAAGCCAUUGUCCAUUAAGUCACUUUUUUCAUUUGUUUCCGAAGCUAAUAAAUAUAUAUGUGUCCAGAAAAUGGAAAACUUAUAUGUGGGCCUGAGCCAAAUCUGCGAAAACAUAUAUUUCAUAUUCAUAAAAAACCGGAGUACCUUUACGAUUCUCAAAAAAAAAAAUUGCUCAAGAUCAAUUCCUCGAAACGCAGAACAGAGAUGAAAUAGAUGAAGCCAUAAUAAAUUGUAUUAUUCAAGAUAGCCGCCCUUUCAACGAUUUUCAUAAACCUGGUAUGAAACUCCUUCUAAACAUUCUUGCUUCGCAUUACAAGCCGCCUCAUAGAAAGACAAUAGCUGAUCAAUUAAGAAAACGGUAUUAUCAAUACAAGAACGAUCUUAAAGCUAAGCUUAAAUUAGUUGCCUACAUAGCACUAGCAACAGAUUUGUGGAAAAAUUGAGUUGGAUCGUAUUGGUUUGCAUAACAGCGCAUUACUUAACAAAAAAAUUUAAAUACAAAUCAAAAAUAGUUUGUUUUCGUAGGUUUUAUGGAAGGCAAUUAAGUAAUAGACUUACAGCAUUUGUACAAAAAGAAAUUAAUAAACUUGAAAUUGAAUCUAAAAUUAUUUCAAUUACAAUUGACAACGCUGAAGAUAUUAAAAAGGCGAUGGGAUCUAUUGCUUUACGACUUUUAUGCAUUUGUCAUAAUUUAAAUCUUGUUUUGAACCAUGGAAUCAAAUUGUGGACUAAACCAUCUCAUAACUUAUUAGAUAGCACAGCAGAUGUAGAUGAAGAUUUUAUAUAUUACAAUAAAUUUUAUAUAUUUUAUAUAUUACAAUAAAUAUAAUGAAAGCGAUAUCAAAUCAAAUGGAAAUCAUCUGACGAUCAAGAAGAAAUUGCAUGCACUUAAUACAAAGAAGACAUUAGCUCAGAUGAUGAAGAAAGUAGCAAGGAGGAGCAGGCGUCAACAAAUGAAAAUAUUGAACAGUUAUUCAUUUAUUCAUCAAGCAUAUUAUUCAGGUUAAGAAAGACGAUAGCUAAUGUUAAACAAUCUUCUGUUUUGCAAUCAUUUGUUUUUAGUGAGAUUAAGAAGCAGGGACUGAAAUUAAAAAACUUUUCGUCAGAUUUUCAUGUACGUUGGAACUCAACGUUUUUGAUGAUUAGUAAGAUAAUAAAAGCGAAAUAUGUUUAUAAUAAAAUUACCAUAGAUCCUGGCACUAUGGGUUAACAGAAAAACAGAUUAAUAAACUCAAGAAACUAGCUUUGUUAUCAGAUGACUGGAAGUUCCUAGACAUUUUACAUUAUAACCUUGCUCCAUUUUUUGAAGCAACUAAACUUCUCUCUACUAAAAAUUUUCUAACACUUUCUUCAGCAAAAUUCGUCCAAAAUACGUUAAUGAACUUUCUUGAAAAUGAAUCUUCAGCUAAAUGUUUUUUUUUUCAACCAUCUCCUACGGUGGAAAGAGAGAACAUGUUACGAGCUAGUCUUCUCAAGUUCAUGAAGGUAUACUUUGUUGAAAAGAUGUCUACAAAACAAAAGCUGCAAAGUUUGCUAGCAUGUUUCUUUGAUCCGAGAACAAACGAGUGUCUUACAGAAAAAGAAUAUCAAGAAGCAAAAAGCAAACUUAUGAAAAAAUUUGCAAAGUCAGCACUCCGACAAUCCUCGAAGAUCAACGCAUACAAACAUUUGUUUGCAAAAUGAACAAAAUUAUUCGAGAAGUGAUAUGAUUGAUUCAAGUAAUGAUGCUCAAUUUCAUGUUUCACCUGAAGUUCCUGUUAAACGCAAAAAUGGGUUUGCUAAGCUUGCAACAUUGUGUGGUUUUAUUCUUUGCGAAGAAAAAACACAGUCAAAGCGAAAUAUAAAAGAGGAGUUAUCCUUUUUCAAUUAUACUAUAAAAGCAAAAACUUGGAAAUUCGAUGAAUUUUGGUACAAGUAUAUUAAAGCCUAUUAAAAUGACUAAUACUUUUUAUAAAACUAUAAAAACUAAAUACUUUUUUAUAGAAUAUAUAUUAAGCAAAAAAAUCAUUAUAAAAAUUAGAAAAAAUAAUUUUAAGUAGAAAAGAGGAAGAGAGGAGUUCAGAA
Long non-coding RNA from Hydra vulgaris (swiftwater hydra), 2851 nucleotides. RefSeq lists it as uncharacterized. The record is from RefSeq and is a predicted model, not a curated record. Lineage: Eukaryota; Metazoa; Cnidaria; Hydrozoa; Anthoathecata; Hydridae.